Mizuhopecten yessoensis (Yesso scallop) is the source of this 474-nucleotide RNA transcript. RefSeq lists it as uncharacterized. NCBI's taxonomy places the organism in Eukaryota, Metazoa, Mollusca, Bivalvia, Pectinida, Pectinidae. The transcript is spliced from 4 exons. The record is from RefSeq and is a predicted model, not a curated record.
CACAAAGUGACCAGUCCUGUAAGUAUAAAUAGCCCAGCUAGAAAUCAACUCACCAUUCACUUGUUUGCCCUAGCAGUGUAAGAAUCCGCCCACCAAUCACCAUGAACAAGUCUCUGAUGCUCGUGUUGAUCCCCUGCCUGGUGGCUUACGUUAUGGCCCAGUAUUACCAGCCUGGAUACGGUGGUAUGGCUGGAUACGGUGGUGGGUACGGGGCUGGAACCUACUACAACUACGCCGCGCAGAGCGCCCAAGGAGCCAAGACAAGCAACUUGUUGAACUAUGGCCUUCUCUUCUUCGCCAUCCUCAUCCUGACCAACGCUACCGGAAGUAUCACUGGUUAGACGUAGCCUCCCGAUACUGACAUGCUCCCCUCCCCGUACAAGUGAUCAAAUGAAUUCCACAGACUUCCUGAUACUGUCAUAUUGCGUGAAUCAUAAUAUGUUGCUGAGAAUAAAACUUAAUUUAUUAUGUAAA